Non-coding RNA from Strongylocentrotus purpuratus (purple sea urchin), 72 nucleotides. Lineage: Eukaryota; Metazoa; Echinodermata; Echinoidea; Camarodonta; Strongylocentrotidae. The record is from Rfam.
GCUCAGUAGUCUAGUGAAUAGGACGCCUGUCUAGAGAUCAGGAGGUCGUGGGUUCGAACCCCCCUCCGAGUA